Agrilus planipennis (emerald ash borer) is the source of this 1050-nucleotide long non-coding RNA. RefSeq lists it as uncharacterized. The record is from RefSeq and is a predicted model, not a curated record. NCBI's taxonomy places the organism in Eukaryota, Metazoa, Arthropoda, Insecta, Coleoptera, Buprestidae. The transcript is spliced from 6 exons.
GUUAUUACAUGCUUAUUCAAUAUAACAUAACCUCGUAAAAUUAGUUGUUUUGUUUAUAUUUAAACAUUUGUAAAAAUAAGAGUUAAUAGAGCCCAUUCUUUGUAUUUCUGAAAUGGUUUUAUGUUGCUUUUGUUAAGUGUUCUUUCAUAGUAAUAAAAGUAAAGUUAUGUCAACAAAUAAAACAGAUGAUUAUUGGAAUAGAAGCUUAAGCACUGGGUUCAGUUUUGAUGAUGAAGAUGAUACUUCGAAAGGGCUGUUUACAAACAGUACACUUACUUUUGAGGCAAACUCAAUUGAAUCAGCUUUCUCAUCAUCACCACUGGACACUGAUUUAUAUGUUUUACCUAUUCAAACAGUUAUAUCAAAAAAGAACUUAGAUGCUGUAAGCCUGCAUAUAGAGAAGUAAAAGAGACUAUCAAAAGAAUGGUACUAAACCAACCGUAUAACUUGAUAUGUUAUCAUUCAUUAAUGGAAAAAGAAGAAUUACUUGAUGAAGCCACCACCACUAUGGAUGGUGAUGUUAUAUUAAAUGUUGUUCUAUUUUUAUUGAAUACAUUAAAUUCAUCAAAUUUUCAUCGUAUAAUAAGUAAAAGGAAAGAAGCAUGGCACCAGUACUUAUCAUACUUAGGGAGCAGAUUGCAAACCCAACAAUUAUCAAAUACACUAUUGUCAGUGGGAUCUAGUUCAGAAAUUAUUGAGAUAUUUUAUAUGGCUAGCGUAGAUAUUCCAAGUGUUGAAGGAGUGUUAUCAAAAUUAGGGCAUUUUAUUGUGGAACAUUUUGGAGAAAUUGUUUCAGAGAGGGAAAAAUCUGUUUUACUUGAUUAUCAAAAUUUUUUAAAGUGGCAAAAAACUGAAAAUAGUAAAAGCCAAUCAGUAACAGAAGAACUGACAAAUCUAUGCAAUAGCACUUGGAAAAGUAAAGGUGCUGACGAAAAUAAAAUUAUAGAAUUUAAAAAAUUGAUGAAAAUAAGCGACUUGCAGUACGAAUGGGUUCUUUUAAAUACAUUGGCUGCUGCAGAACAGUGGGACAAAAUAUUGUCAAUGUUUAUU